AUUUAUAUAGUAUAACUAAUUAUAUUUGACUUCCAAUCAAAAGAUCUACCAUAAUAGUAUAAAUA
RNAcentral lists this transfer RNA (65 nucleotides) under Strongylium suspicax. RNAcentral describes it as "tRNA-Gly". Lineage: Eukaryota; Metazoa; Arthropoda; Insecta; Coleoptera; Tenebrionidae. The record is from RNAcentral.